RNAcentral lists this ribosomal RNA (407 nucleotides) under uncultured bacterium. Its description in RNAcentral is "partial 16S ribosomal RNA". It matches the Rfam family "Bacterial small subunit ribosomal RNA", at positions 28 to 526 of the family's 1533-position model. The record is from RNAcentral.
GACGAACGCUGGCGGCGUGCCUAAUACAUGCAAGUAGGACGCAGUUGCGAACGGGUGAGUAACGCGUCGGUAACUGCCUAUUAGAGGGGGAUAACUAUUGGAAACGAUAGCUAAUACCGCAUCCUAGUAGAUGGACCUGCGUUGUAUUAGCUAGUAGGUAGGGUAAUGGGCUACCUAGGCAACGAUACAUAGCCGGCCUGGGGGGGUGGUCGGGCAAACUGGGACUGGGAAAAGGGCCAGACUCCGCCGGGGGGCAGCAGUAGGGGAACUUCGGCAAUGGGGGGAAGCCUGACCGAGCAACUGCGGGUGAGUGGAGGAGGUGUUCGGGUCGUAAAGCUCUGUUGUUAGGGGAGCGGUACUUACCCAGAAAGGGACGGCUAACUACGUGCCAGCAGCCGCGGUAAUUC